This 253-nucleotide ribosomal RNA is filed under the name uncultured bacterium. RNAcentral describes it as "partial 16S ribosomal RNA". It matches the Rfam family "Bacterial small subunit ribosomal RNA", at positions 524 to 776 of the family's 1533-position model. The record is from RNAcentral.
UACGUAGGUGGCAAGCGUUGUCCGGAAUUAUUGGGCGUAAAGCGCGCGCAGGCGGUCCUUUAAGUCUGAUGUGAAAGCCCACGGCUCAACCGUGGAGGGUCAUUGGAAACUGGGGGACUUGAGUACAGAAGAGAAGAGUGGAAUUCCACGUGUAGCGGUGAAAUGCGUAGAUAUGUGGAGGAACACCAGUGGCGAAGGCGACUCUUUGGUCUGUAACUGACGCUGAGGCGCGAAAGCGUGGGGAGCAAACAGG